AAAGUCGUAACAAGGUUUCCGUAGGUGAACCUGCGGAAGGAUCAUUACCGAGUAUAGGGGUCUCCCUCGUGGUGGCCCCGAACUCCCACCCCGUGCUUACGUACCUCUGUUGCCUCGGCGGGCCGGCUAGUAAUUCUUUAAGAGUUACCUAGCAUCCGGCCCUUGCGCUGGACAGCGCCCGCCAGAGGACCAACCAAACUCGUCUUUGACCGGUAGUCUGAGUAAAACAACAAAUAAGUUAAAACUUUCAACAACGGAUCUCUUGGUUCUG
This 271-nucleotide unclassified non-coding RNA is filed under the name Ascomycota sp. Its description in RNAcentral is "partial contains small subunit ribosomal RNA, internal transcribed spacer 1, and 5.8S ribosomal RNA". The stretch from base 1 to 47 matches the Rfam family "Eukaryotic small subunit ribosomal RNA", at positions 1785 to 1831 of the family's 1831-position model. Lineage: Eukaryota; Fungi; Ascomycota. The record is from RNAcentral.